This 9541-nucleotide long non-coding RNA is filed under the name Cricetulus griseus (Chinese hamster). RNAcentral's name for it is "lncRNA (ENSCGRG00015039522.1)". The record is from RNAcentral. Lineage: Eukaryota; Metazoa; Chordata; Mammalia; Rodentia; Cricetidae.
GGAGGCGGCGGGCAGCGCGCGGGCGCUUAGUUCCGGAAAGGAGAGGAGGCUCGCGGCUGUGGAUCCGGCGGCUCUAGCCCUGGCAGCGGAAAAGAAGCCGCGCAGGCGCUCAGCGCACCUCCAGGUCUCUAGGUCCCGAGCCGCCUUAAAGGCUUGCGGCCGCGGUUGCUUCACAACGAGCGUGGGCGGGGCCAAAGCUGAGCAGGGGAAGGGCCGGCCGGCCCGCCCCUCCCACGCCACCAGCGUAACGUCAGAAAGUUCCGCGGUGGUGUGAGGUGUCACGUCGUAGCGUGAGAUUCUUCCGCCACUGGGGGCCCGGUGGGCGGAGUCUCAAGUGCCCAAAAAAAAAUCCCUAGGACAGGAAAUGAUCUAGUACAGGUGACUAGACGUGGGAUUUUUUUAAAAGUAUUGAUGAGCUUUAAAAUGAAUAGCUUGAGCGCAUUUGCGUUCUAACCAACGUGCCCAAUCUUUUUUUUUUCUUGGUUUUUUCAAGACAGGGUUUCUCUGGUUUUGGAGGCUGUCCUGAAACUAGCUCUGGUAGACCGGGUUGGUCUCGAACUCACAGAGAUCCACCUGCCUCUGCCUCCUGAGUGCUGGGAUUAAAGGCCUGGGCCACCACCGCCCCGCAAACGUGCCCAGUCUUAAAUUACACUUCAGUAAUUGUUCUUUCCGGGAUAGGGAACCCCUGAAUAGUGGCAGUACAGGCCGUCCGAAGGCCAGACUUCCUAAGAGCAAGCCCAGGUUACCUAGCAAGAGUGUCAAAAAACCGUGGCUCAGUGCUUGCCUAUGAAAGAAGCUUUCAUUAAAAAUUAGGGCAACAGUGGUGGUUCACAGCUUUAAUCCUAGCACUAGGAAGGCAAGGUAGAAGGAUCAGAAGUUUGAAGCCAGCCUGGAUUAUAUAGUAAAUUCCAGGUCAGUUGUGGUACCCUGUUUCAAAAGGGAAAGUCGGACAUUGCUCCAUGCUUUGGGCACAAGGCUAACUGAACCACUCAAAGCUCAAGCUAGUGGAAGAUUUACAUAAUUCAACCAGAGGUGCUUGGUAAAGCAUCGAGAACCUGAAAGAAUAACCUAGAUGGGAACUUGUUAAAAACCAAAAAUUGGGCUAGGUGUUUGUUGGUGGCUCACGCCUUUAAUCCCAGCACUCCAGAGGCAGAGGCAGGUGGAUCUCUGUGAGUUCGAUGCCAGCCUGGUCUCCACAGUGAGUGCCAGGAUAGGCUCAAAAGCUACACAGAGAAACCCUGUCUUGAAAAACUAAAAAAAAAAAAAAAUCAGAAUUAGGGCUGGAGAAAUGGCUUAGUGGUUGAAUGCUUAUUGCUCUUCCAGAGACCCUGAGUUCUGUUCUACACUGGGCAGUAGACAACUAAUUGCCUGUACUUCCUGCAACUCCAGCUUCAGGCUGUCCCACAUUAUCUUCUGGACUCUCUUGGCACUCGAACGCAUGUGUCACAUAUUUAUUCAGAAACAUACAUACACAUAAAAUUAUUUUUUUAGAUUAUGAAUUUAGGCAUAAGCCAUAAAUCACUGUUUGGUACCUCUAGAGUUAGGAGAAAGAAUAAGCCAGUUGACUAUGUAUGCUAACAUUUCAGUCUUGAGGGCUGUAGAGAUGGCUCAGUGGUUAAAACUAUGUUCUUUCAAGACAGGUUUCUCUGUGGCUUUGGAGGCUGUCCUGAAACUAGCUCUUGUAGGCCAGGCUGGUCUUGAACUCACAGAGAUCCUCUGCCUCUGCCUCCCGAGUGCUGGGAUUAAAGGCAUGUGCCACCACCAAUACCGGCUCUGGGUUCAAUUCUUAUUGCCUAUGUCAGGCAGCUCAUGACUGCUUGUAACUCAAGCUCCAGGGAAUUGAACACCUCUGGCUUCCAGUGGUAUUCACAAACAUGGCAUCCACUCACACAGGCACACAUAUACAUGAUUAAAAAUAAAACAAGAAAAAGAAACUUCAUUGAUAUAGGCAAGCAGUGUUUAGUCUGCUAGGACGGUCAUUGUGGCACAAUAUCCCUAGCACACAGUGCAGGCGAAUGCCGAGUUUGAGACCAGCUACAUAAUGAAUACUGCCUCAAAAAAUAAACAGGAUGCUCACUCUCCAUUUGCCACCUGCCUGUUCCCCUUGAGCACUUGAGUUUAUAACCUGCUGCUUUUAAAAUUGAGACGGCCUGGGAGCUGCCACCACAUGCCCCAUUCAGUUAAGAGACAAAGGCUGGACCACUCCACACCUGCUCUGCACCACUGCCCCUCCUUGGGCCAUACCCAGGCCUUUGGGAAGGAAAUAUCCCUGCAGGGCAUUGAGAAAGAGGUUUAGCUGAGUUUGCCACACUCUCUUUGCUUGUCUUCGGUGAGGCAUUUGGCCUCAUUGUUUUUGUUUGAUUGCUGGGACUAUGCAAUCUCCAGUUGGGUGAAUCAAAGGCAGUAAAUGGCUGGUGGUGCCUUUUUUGGUUGUUGCUAGUUUCACCCUGUAGCCCUGGCUGAUCUUUUAUGAAUAUUUUCUCGGCAUGUGUACUGCAUACAUGUGUGGUGCUUUCAGAAGAAAGUGUCAGAUCCCCUGAGACUGUGGUUACAAGCUGUUGGGAGCUACCAUGUGGGUGCUAGGAAAAAACCUGUUUCCUAUACAAGAGCAUCAAGCACUCUCAACAGCUGAGCAAUCUCUCUCUAGUCAGUUCCCCAGGUUUGUUUUUUUCUCUCUGAGAGUUCCAAGCCAACCAGGGAUACACAGUGAGACCCUGUCUAAAAACAAAGAAGCCAGGAGGUGGUGGCGCAUGCCUUUAACCCCAGGAGGCAGCAGAGGCAGGUAAAUCUCUGAAUUCGAGGCUAGCCUUGUCUAUAGAGUGAGUUCCAGGACAGCCUCCAAAGCUACAAAGAAACCCUGUCUCAGAAAAAAAGAAAGAAAAAGUAAACAGAAAUAAUUAGAAAUUUUCCCACUUGAAGGAGGUUUUGUAUGUCAAAUAACACAUGUCUGAAACCUACAGUGGGUGCCUUCUGGAUUGGGUGAGUCCCAAUUUCUGUUACUGUCCUUCAUCAGGCAGAGUGGAACUCUGCAACCUUAUACUGUUCCUAAACAUCUUUGUAUUCAAACUGGUACCAAGAGCUGCCUCAGCCCUCCCUAGAAAAAUGUAGUAGCAGCCUGAUUUGAUCUUUACCAUCAGCCUGGUAGAUAUAAGCUCCCUUCCUGAGUUCAUCCUCUACCUCCUUCCCAAAAGAAGGUUCUGGCUCUUUUGUUCCUCUCCCAGUAGACACCCAAGCUCAGUCUCCAUAGUUGCAGCCCAUGGGGCAAAGUGACAAAAGAAGCAGCACAUGCUUCUUAAUGUAACUUGUUAUUCUUUAUCUCCUUCCCUUUAUUUGUGGUAGGAGCUCACUGUGUGACCCAGGCCAGCCUUGAACUCUUGAUCCUCCUGCCUCAGCUUCCCAAGUGUAAUCAUGUGCGUGCCACAGUUCAGGGUUCUGGUGGUUGAUACCAUAACAAAUCCCUCCCCAGCUAUUGCCACUCAGUUCACUGAGAUUCUUCAGGCUCUGGGAGUCACAGCAGCUUUCUCUAGUUCAAGCACUGAUUCCCAUUAUAUGCUGGAACCUAGUAUGCUUCAGCCUCUGUGCUCACCUCAUCUCCACUCCAUAAACACAGCCUCAAAGAUUGAUCUCAAUUCAUCCACAAAUUCCUGAAAUACGAAUUGACCAGGGAACAGAAAGAGAUAAAGUGCAAGAUUUUAAAAAUCAUAAGUUCAGGGCAGUGGUGGCACACGCCUUGAAUCCCAGCACUCAGGAGGCGGAGGAAGAUAGUUCAAGGCCAGUGUGAUCUACAGAGUGAGUUCUGAGACAGGCAAGCCUGCACAGAGAAAUGCUGUCUCAAAAAACAAAACCAAAAAACUCAUUUAAAAAUUGCAAGGAGGACUGGGUGUUGGUGGUGCACACCUUUAAUCCCAGCACUCAGGGAAGCAGAGGUAGGCGGAUCUCUGUGAUGCUGGGAUUAAAGGCAUGCGCCACCAACGCCCGGCAGCUCUGGAACUUUUAAAAUGAUGUAUUUAUUUUUGUUAUCUUCAUUGGUGCCUUGCCUGCUUGUAUAUCUGUGUGAUCCCCUGAAACUGGAGUUAUAGACUGUUGUGAGCUGCCAUGUAGGGGCUGGGAACUGAAGCUGCUCUGGAAGAGCAGACAGUGCUCUUUAACCACUGAGCCUCUCUCCAGCCCUCAUUCCAGGAAUUUUUAAUCUAUAAAUCAUACAGUAUCUAGAUGUAGAAUCAAUACUUGGUAAUCUGGUUUUGCAGCCAGAAAUGGUGGUGCACACCUGUCAACUCAGACUUCGGAGGCUGAGGCAGGAAGAUUAAAAAUUUAAAGCUAGCCUGGGCUACACAGUGACAUCUUGUCUGUCUGCAAAUAGAUAAGGACUAGGGAGGUAGUUCAGUGGUAUAGCAUCGGCCACCAUAUUAAUACUCUUUUUUUUUUUACAACACUGCAGAUGAUUGAUAGAUCAUAAACAAAAUAGAUAAGUAAUUUUACACAUAAAAAUCUAAGUUUGUAUUGCAAUAAAAAAAAUUCGCUUCAGACACUUCUAACCUGUCUGUUGAGUAUUGAGUAUUGCCUGCAGCGUGCGCUCAAAGAUGAUCCGUAGUCCGUAAGGCUAAGAUUUCUUUAUUCAGAUAAACACCAGCCCAAAUACAAGCCAGAGCGUGCCCAGAGGCCGAAAGCUAGGGAGGCCAGAGAGAGGGGCGAUCCACGAUCCACUUGUGCUCGGUCCCUUAAGAAUUGUCCCCGCGUCAUCUUUGACCUCCCCUGACCACGCCUUCACAUGGGUAGCCAGUCACACCUGUAGGGGCUACUAGGAGGCGGGGCUACAAUGUCUCCCUACACCUGUCCAUAUUUUUUAAAAAAUAGUUUAUUAUGUCUAUGGCUGUUUAGCUUGCAUGUAUACCUAUGUAUUAUGUAUGUGACUGGUGUGCCAGAAGAGGGCAUCAGAUCCCCUGAAACUGGAAUUACAGAUGGCUGUGAGCAGUUAUGUGGGUAUGAGAGUCAAACACAGGUCCUCUAGAAAAGCAGCCAGUGAUCUUCACCACUGAGUCAUCUCUCCAGCCCUUCAUAUUUUGACUGGCCAAAAUAUCAGUAUUCCCUGGCAAGUCACUCCAGUGAAAAAUCGCCUCCCAGACUUAGUGUAAAACCUACCACAAAAACCCUGUAAAGCUACUAUCUCUUGAAGAACCCACACUUAAUCUACAAAAAAAUUUUUUUUGGCCAGGCAGUGGCACACUCCUUUAAUCCCAGCACUCAGGAGGCACAGGCAGGCAGAUCUCUGUGAGUUUAAGGCCAGCCUGAACUACAGAGUGAGUUCCAGGGCUACUCAGAGGAACCCUGUCUUGAAAAACAAAAUUAAAAAAAAAAAAAUGUUUUGAUGCAUGCCUUAAGUACAAACACUUGGAAGGCUGAGGCAGGUGAAUCUCUGAGUUUCAGGCCAGCCUGCUCUAAUUGGCAAGGACUAGGCCAGUCAAGGCUACAGUGUUCAACCUCCUCUCAAAAGAGGCAAAAAAAAAAAAAAAGUUUUUACUACGUUUUGCUUAUUGUGUAUGGAGGAUGGGCACACCAUGGCAUUUCAGUGGAGAGCAGAGGACAUUUUGCAGGAAUUAGUUCUUUUGUUCCGCUUUAUGGAUCCAGGGACUAGACUCAAACCAGUCUUGGUGGCAAGUACCUUUACCUGCUGUGCCAUCUCACUAGCUCCCAGGCUCCCUUAGGAGUGAACUCUGUCCCCAGACACCUUCCCCAGCACCACCCCCAACACCACCAGGUAAAGCUUAGCCUCCUCUAGCAACGGCCCCUCCCACACACACUCUCCUUUGGUUUUUAGUUUUGUUUUGUUUUUAAAUCUCUCCCAUUUUAAGUAAUGUAAAGGAGAGCGGAAUCCUGUACUCCCAUCUCCCACGGGCUUCAGCCUGGUGUCGGUGGGGACAGCAUUUUCAAGCCUAUAUGGGACUCGGACUUGUCUCCUGAGUUACCUCUUCCCUGCCCCUCCUUUCUGUCCUUCAGACCUGUGGGUAGGAAAACACAAAUCUGUGAUAGUCAAGGUUUCCGUCAGGAAAAAUGUGCCUGAUUUCUGUGUCUGCGGACCCCAAACCCCAGUUCUUGCAUACUGGUCCAGGAGGCAGUGUGACCUUGCCUUCUCAAAUUGCCCUGCUUCCUUCACUCCCAGGUCACUGUCCCACAUCCGGCAUUCUUUUCUCACUCUGGGACCCUCCUCGUCUUGAUCCUUCUCUUUGUUACAUAUACAAGAUGUAGAAACUGGGUGGCUCAGCGGAUAAAGACACUGAGUCUGAUCCCUGGGACCCACAAGCUGAAAGGAGAGAGCCAACUCCAACAAGUUGUUCUCUGAUCUCUGAGUGAGCACCAUGGCUUUUGUGCCAGCAAAGGCAUGUGCACACUCACAAAAUAAAAUGUAAUAAUUUAGAUGUACAAAAUUCAGCUGAAGAGAUGGCUCUGCUCUUCCAGAAGACCUGGUUCAGGUCCCAGUACCCACAUGGCGGUUCAUAACCAUUUAAGACUCCAGUCCCAGGGAAUCUGAUGCUCCUUAUGGCCUUUGAAGGCACAAUGUGUGCACAUGGUACAGGCAUGCAUGUAGGCAAAAACCUCUUUUUUUUUUUUUUUUUUUGAGACAGGGUCUCACUACAUAGCUCUGGCUGGCUGUCCUGGAACUCACUGUGUAGACAAGGCUAGCCUUGAACUCAAAGAUCUGCCUGCCUCUACCUCCCCAGUGCUAGGAUUAAAGGUGUGCGCCACUAUAUCUGGACUAAUUUCUUAAAAAAAAAAAUAUGUAGAAACCUGCAGCAGUGAGUUCUCAUUAGUGUCCAGGAUGGCAGGUGGGGGUGGUGAACAUCAUUACUCCCAGCACUCGGGAGGCAGAGGCAGGCGGAUCUCUGUGAGUUCAAGGCCAGCCUGGUCUACAGAGCAAGUGCCAGGAUAGGCUCCAAAGCUACACAGAGAAACCCUGUCUCAGAGAGAGAGAGAGAGAGAGAGAGAGAGAGAAUAGUGAGUGUGUCCAGGAUGGCAGUCCCGUGGUUCCUUGUCCCUCUGGGCACUUUGUGUCCACUGCCAAUCUCCUAUCUCCUGAGUGUGGGAGGGAAGAAGUGUUACAUUCACUAUGUUCCCCUUUAAAAGGCUCCUGCCUGCCUCCUCCUCGUCUUCUUCCUCCUCGUCUUCUUCCUCCUCGUCUUCCUCCUCCUCCUCCUCCCUCCCUCUCUCCCUCCCUCCCUCUGUCUCUCUCUCUCUCCCUCUCUCUGUUUUUCUGCCUGUCUCUCUUCUGCUGCUCCCGUCUCCAAAGGCUGGUCCCCCUUCCACUCCUCCCUUUCUCCUAAUAAACCCCCUCCACAUGAGCUCUCUCACAUGGCCUUCUUUCUCUCAUGCCACUUUUUAAAAUUACAACACUGAUAACUCAGCCAUCAGUUCUGAUUUGAAACUUCUCCACAGUGCGAGCAUUCCAUCUUUCUGUGCCCAGCUUACAGUCGUCUUUAUUUCAUUUCUCUCAUUUCUUUCCCACUUUCUAGCAGUUAAGCUUUUUCAAGUGUGUGUGUGCAUAAGUAAAAGGACACAGCAUGCAUGUAGAGAUAAAGGAGAGUGCUGGGUGUCGGCCUCCACCUUCCACCUUGCUCCAGAUAGGGUGUCUUGUUUGCUGCCAUGCACACAGCAUGCUGGCCUAUGAGCUUCCAGAGGAUUCUUCCGUCUCUGUCUCCCAUGUCCCUUGAAAAGCACUGGGGUUACAGACUCUCGAUACCAUGUGCAGCUUUCACACGGGCUCCAGGGGUUCAAAAUCUGGUCCUCCUGCCUGCACAGCAAGCACCUUUACCACUGAGCCAUCUUCUCAGUCCUUUAUCUUUUAACCUUUCUGUUUUUUAGAACGAGUUCUUGUUUUUGAGCAGUGAUAUAAUGUUGCAAGUUACUCAUUUGUUCAUUCACCAAUGUUAACUGCAGGAAGUAGAGGGAGCCCUGAAUAAAUGUGUGCUGUCAAAGAUAUGCCUACGUCAAUGACGCCAGAGCCUCAGUCCCAUAAGAAAAUGGCAGAGCCUUUCCCAGGUGAGGCACAGAGAAAUGGUAAAGCCUUCUUCUGGUCUAUGUGCAUCUGCUUCUUUCAGCAUGUCACUGUCCCACAUCCACCAUUGUUUUCUCACUCUGGGACCCUUAUCAUCUUGAUCCUUCUCCUGGUUACAUGAUAGUAUGGAUAGAAAAUGUACACCAUUACUUUCUUCUCCAACAAAUACGUACAGCCUGAAGACUGCUCCAUUACAGAACCUAGCUUCUUUGUUCACUGUUUAUAAUAUACAAAGUAAGAACCCUGAAGAGUUGCAGUUUCUCUGUCAGAGAGCCCAGACUACCUGAAUCCAGCUUUCUGUACAUGUCCAGCCAGGUCAAGUCUCUGAGACGAUACAAGCUAGGAAUACAUUAAUUGUAUUGAUUGAGACAAUUGACAUUUUCCAUCAUUGCCAAGUGAUCCCACCUAAGAAGACACAGUUAUCCUUCAUGCAAAUGUUUUUACUCUUUCCCUAAAGGAGGAAUCUCAUUCCCAAAGGUCAGUCCUAGCCCUCAAUGUCCUAAGUGUUGUGGGGUAAUCUUUUCGUACACUGUGAAGAUGUGUCUCUGCUAAGGCACAUUCUGAUUGGUUUAAUAAAGAGCUGAAUGGCCAAUAGGAACUCUGGGAAGGAAUCAAAGAGGUGGGGAUUUGCCAGCUAGACAUUGUCACAUCAAAUCCAGUAGAUUCUGUGUGACAAGUUCCACAGACUGAGGUAAUAACUUCAAAAGAAGGAGGUCUCCUGGAAACAGUUGUGAAAACUCUUGUCCAGAGAAAAAUAUUGGGCUGUGAUUCUCAUGGCAAUUUGUUUGUUCUUCUAUUCCUUUUUUUUCAUAUUAAUCAAAUGUUCCUGAAAGCCUAUGCUGACAUUUAAAGCAAGAGAUACAGAUAAGAAACCAUCCCCUGAGAUGGGGUCACUAGCCAUGACUUCAUCUUCAGAAAAAGAUGUUUUCCAAAUUGUUUUCCAAAUCAUUCACAUCAUUCAUAUAAGUGCAAAUAGUUAAAACUUUUUCAACAAUAAAAUUUCAUAUGGCUGUACAUGUGUCAUUGACUUAAGUGUCUGGUAAAGUAAGCUUUUAAUAAGAGUUAAAAUAGCUCAAUAUUUCAAAAACUCACAAGAACUAGGAAAUAGAUGUUAAUAACUGACCAUAAAAUAUAUUAACUUGAUUUAAGGAAUAUGUGGUUAGCCUUGUAUGAUUCUGUGUUAACCAAGGACGAUUCUAUGUUUUGAUUAACCCUGGAUGAUUCCAUUUUGGAUUUCUGCGUCAUUACUGUGCCUAGUAAUAAUGUCAUAUGUUUGGGUUUGCUUAACAAAAACAUCCCCUGAGAAAAUAUCUCUAUAAAAAAGCCUUGUUUGAGAACUGCAAAAUACACUCAGAUUCAAACUGCCUCUGUGUUUGUUUCUGUUUGUCACUGCUGAAUUCUUACCCACCUAGUCUUCGAGGACCCUCAUCUCAGGGACCCCGUACCUGACUGGGGUGGUCCCUGGCAAGACAUGAAGUGGGAUACACAGUGCUG